Molecule: non-coding RNA, 3725 nt
Organism: Amborella trichopoda
Lineage: Eukaryota; Viridiplantae; Streptophyta; Magnoliopsida; Amborellales; Amborellaceae
Source: RefSeq, a predicted model, not a curated record
CAAAACCCAGCGCGCGAAAGGUUGCGAUAGGCUCAGAAGCUUCAAACCUAUCAAAAUUUCACCUUCUACCCUCGUCUGCUUUGCUAACCUACCUUCUCUCUCGUUCGCCUUGUCUACCGCUCUGCGAAGGUCCCCUCUCUCCCGUGUGAAGGUUCCCUCUCUCUCGUGGCCCUCUCAUCUCUCUAUGCUGCUGCCCUCACUCUCUCUGCGCUGCUGCCCUCACUCUCUCUGCGCUGCUGCCCUCACGCCGUCUCAUCGCUCGCCCCCUUCUCUUAAGGCCUUUCUCUCUCACUAGCUGCUUUAAAGAGAGAAGAAACCUUCUUCAUGGAGGAAACCCAACAGGCUUGGUAUGGAUUUUCUUCUGUACUCUUUUACCCAAUUUUUUUCUGGUUAGUUCUCUCUCUAUUACGAUUUUGCACAUCAUUUUUCCUUUUGCCAUUGAUAUAUGGAACGUGAGCUUUCUAUCUCUCAGCCUGAAUUUAUUCAAUUUGUAUCAUUUUUAAACUUGGUAUGGAUUUUUUGUUGGGCCCUUUUACCCAAUUUUUUUUUGAAUUCAAUCACAAAAACAGAGGUACAAUGGUGCAAUUGAAUUUUAUUACUUUCAUUUAUCAUUGAUUCUGAAAGAAAACUGAAUUAGAUUGUUAUAAAUGGGUUUCACUGCAUAAUUUUUAUUAUUUGGAUCUAUAACUUGAAGAAGUUGCAAUGAAUACAGCUGAAUGCCCUAAUAGAAAAAAUAUUUCCCGACUUUCAAUUGAAAUUUUGAUACAAUUAUUUGGUUUUAUGCCAUGCUUUUAUUCUUUAAAUAAAUUUGGGUUCAAUAUUCAUUUCCCUGUUCUGUGUUUUUUUUUGUUGGGAAUUUGAAGUUGGUGAUGACCAGGUAAAAUGCGUCCAUUGAUAAUUCAAUACCUUUAAAAAUGUUGGUGAUCUCCAAAUUUAUUUCACAGGCUGCCAAAACUAUGCUGUGAUCAUGGUCAUCCUAAUGAUUUAGUUCUGAUCAUGUAUCCUAGCAUUUUAAAAUUGUCUCAACGCAAACUGGUUAUAAUUUACACUACCAAAUAAUUUAAGGAUAAAUAAGAGAUUACAUGAACAUCCCAAUACCAAUGAAGCAAGAGAAAAUAUGUAUGAAAGAAUUAGAAAAACAAAUUACAUCCUCUGCAUAUGUUGAAGAGUUUAUAUUCGAUAUUGUCCUGCAAAGUUCAUCAUUCUUCAAGGUGUUUUUGAUUUCAUCAGAACUAACUGCAAACGAAAAUAAGAGAUCAUUACAAUUUCAGAGCAUGAAAAUAAUUACUGAACUUGUGUGACCCAAUAGGGGGGAAGCCACAAAUUUCUAGGCAGCUAUAUCAUUUAUUCAAAUUCUAGCAUGAACAAGCUGUAGAUUCAUAGACCUAACACUACGUACGAUAAAAUUCCAUUAAAACAAAAGAAUGGAUAAAAAAAUGCACCUAUUGACUCUAACUAAUCCUUUUGAAGCACCUAACUUUCUUCAUUUGCUUGGAUUGAUCUUUCAGAUAGUAAAUGUGUUUCUGCAUUGUGCAUUGUUCUCUACAAAUGCAUUAGUAUAAGGGAACAUAAGAUUCAAGUGUUGUGAAACUUGACACAAUCUAGUUAGCAUGCUAGCUGAUAUUGUUGGCAACCUUUGACCUAUGUUGUGAGGGAUAUACUUCAACUACAUAUCCCAACAUUAUUGCACACAUGAAUGUUAACCAUGAAGUAUCUGUAAAAGAAGAAAUGUGUUAAGAUGAAUAUUUUAAAACAAUAUCUGCUGUCAAAGAAUUAAAAGUUUAAUGUUAUCAAUUUACAUUUGAGGAAUCGGCUUGCCGGACAAAGUUAAGCAAAGAUGAAGGACUAUAACACACCAUACAGAGAAAAUAAACCAAUAUGAUGCAAGUGAACUUAUGCAGCAAGUUUUAGGAAACAAUUAGUUCCAGUUUAUCCAUGCUUUGUCUGUUGUCUGGAAAAUUGAGGAUUCAAGAAAUUCCAAUUUCAACUCAACGAACUACGUUUCUGGGUUGUUCUGCUGCAUCACCUAUCUAUUGGACCUUGAGUAUCAAAUCGUGCACUCAAAUUCAAUUGUUACUAAUAAAAAAUGAAAAAAAAAGGAUAUAUCAGAUGCCUUGAACAUGUAACAACACGAACCAUCACUUGCUGAAAAUUCAAGAAUUUUUCUUUUUUUUAUAGUACUUUUUAGUUGUAAUUUCUUUGUGACUUGUGUUGAGUAAAGUCUACUUUUUUUAAGUUGACAACUCUUGGCAUGGAAUAAGCCUUAAAAGAAAGAACUAUGGGCACCUUUUGUGCUUUCUUUUCUUUCCUUCUUAACUCUUCCAUUCUCUAGCGAUUGAAUUAUAUGCAAAUACUUUGCUAUUUCAAAUAUAUGGCUGGUAUUUCAACUGAGUGGUGGAUUUUAGUAUCAUCGCUUUUUAUGCUUUUCUCUGGUUGAACAGUGUAUGAGUUCUUUGGUAUGCUGGUUUUAGGAACUAAUGCCUAUGGAACCAUCAGUAUUCAAGUCAUUUUCUCUUGAUCAUUUAACCUGAAUCUUUGUGCAGUCUUCUCAAGCGGUAGUGAAUCAGCUUGUACCACCUAGCAGAGGUUUGUAGUUCUGAGCCUUUAAUACUUUGAUACUUUAGACCGAAGCUUUCAGGAAUUAAAACUCAGAUAAAUAGUAUGUUAUGAAAGGAAAACCCACAAAAUUGUUUCUAAUUUAUAAUCACUGUGAAGACGAAUUCUUUUCUAGACAAUGUUAUAUGGCGCUUAACUGAUCCAAAGAAAAAAGGUACUCCAAGCUGCAUCCAUGGUGUGUUCCCAUUGCAGGAUGGUUGUUUAUCAACGUCCCUAGUUGAAUGUCCCUAUGGGCCCCUUGACUUCGAGUAUCAUGUACAAUAGUCCAAUAGCAGUGAUGUGCUUUCCCUUUUACUAUAUUUACUAAAAUGACAUAUUCCUCAUCCUCGACAUGGAUUACUUAAAUUGCAGCCUACAACCUGGAGUUUUAUACAGAUGUGCAGGAUUUGUCUUAUUUACAAUACCACCUUGAUCGAGAUCCAUGCUCUGCCAAGUACAGGUUUGGUGCUUCCACAUCAGGCCUUAUUUCUCACUUUGCUUGAGCCAAAAGUACCUCACUCUUCCUUUGCAGGAAACUCACCAAAGAGCUAUGCGAAGUUAUUGAAGAUUAUGGUCUGGUCAAUUUCACCAACAUUGGAUAUUCAGGUAUCUCAGAGAAUGUGCUUGCUGCUUCCAAUGAUGGCACAAGCACAGAGGACGGUGAGCAAGCAAGAAGGGUAGUCUUGAUGUUCUUAGAGCGGCUUUCCCACCCUUAUGGUCUAAAAAAAUCAGCAAAGUAGCAACGAAAUAAUGAGAUGGUGUAUGGAGAACAAGCUGCCAUGGAAGUACUGAUACAACACUUUGAGCCUCAUUUGCAAAAUUGGGGAGAGUUUGUUAGGCUUCAGAAGAUCACCAAGACAACCCUAAAGAUGAGAGCUUGGCUGAGAAAGCAGCUGCUCAGAGUUUGCUGUAGAGAGUAUCUCAGUCACUUAAAACUAGCUCGUCUGGAGAGAGACUCAAGGACAUGAUUCUAGAGAGAGGGAUUACUGAAUUCGAUGUCGAGAGGUGUUUGACCUCCUUGUGUCUUUUUUCCUAUUUCAUGAGGUAUUUGACCUCCAGUGGUUUGUAAAUGAUUGUAAUUGGUCGUUGUUUAAUUAAUGGUAAUCUAGUGAAUUGUAAAUGAUUGUAAU